Molecule: signal recognition particle RNA, 94 nt
Filed under: Cytophagales bacterium
Lineage: Bacteria; Pseudomonadati; Bacteroidota; Cytophagia; Cytophagales
Description: signal recognition particle sRNA small type
Rfam family: Bacteroidales small SRP
About the family: The non-coding component of the signal recognition particle in Bacteroides
Source: RNAcentral
CGGUGGGCGGCACGACCAGCUCCUGUUGAACUCCCCCAGGUCCGGAAGGAAGCAAGGGUAGAUAGUUGAGCGGUGCGAUGUUUGCCCACCUUCU